CGACUGAGUGGCGGACGGGUGAGUAACGCGUGGGCAACCUGCCCCAUACAGGGGGAUAACAGUUAGAAAUGACUGCUAACACCGCAUAAGCGCACAGGGCCGCAUGGCCCGGUGUGAAAAACUCCGGUGGUAUGGGAUGGGCCCGCGUCUGAUUAGCCAGUUGGCGGGGUAACGGCCCACCAAAGCGACGAUCAGUAGCCGACCUGAGAGGGUGACCGGCCACAUUGGGACUGAGACACGGCCCAAACUCCUACGGAAGGCAGCAG
RNAcentral lists this ribosomal RNA (266 nucleotides) under uncultured bacterium. Its description in RNAcentral is "partial 16S ribosomal RNA". It matches the Rfam family "Bacterial small subunit ribosomal RNA", at positions 88 to 354 of the family's 1533-position model. The record is from RNAcentral.